CGCGUAGGAAUCUACCCAGUAGCGGGGGACAACUUGUGGAAACGCAGGCUAAUACCGCAUACGCCCUACGGGGGAAAGGGGGCUCUUUGAGCUUUCACUAUUGGAUGAGCCUGCGUAAGAUUAGCUAGUUGGUGAGGUAAUGGCUCACCAAGGCGACGAUCUUUAGCUGGUCUGAGAGGAUGAUCAGCCACACUGGAACUGAGACACGGUCCAGACUCCUACGGGAGGCAGCAGUGGGGAAUAUUGCACAAUGGGGGAAACCCUGAUGCAGCCAUGCCGCGUGUGUGAAGAAGGCUCUAG
RNAcentral lists this ribosomal RNA (300 nucleotides) under uncultured Alteromonadales bacterium. Its description in RNAcentral is "bacterial SSU rRNA". It matches the Rfam family "Bacterial small subunit ribosomal RNA", at positions 114 to 420 of the family's 1533-position model. Lineage: Bacteria; Pseudomonadati; Pseudomonadota; Gammaproteobacteria; Alteromonadales. The record is from RNAcentral.